This 46-nucleotide non-coding RNA is filed under the name Schistosoma haematobium. Lineage: Eukaryota; Metazoa; Platyhelminthes; Trematoda; Strigeidida; Schistosomatidae. The record is from RNAcentral.
GAACUGCUGAUUAGUCCCACAAUAGGACGGAACGGCCGUCCAGUGC